Molecule: small RNA, 174 nt
Filed under: Gopherus agassizii (Agassiz's desert tortoise)
Lineage: Eukaryota; Metazoa; Chordata; Testudines; Testudinidae
Description: TUC338 (ENSGAGG00000019286.1)
Source: RNAcentral
CAAAACGUUGGAGACUCAAAACUCCUAUUUAUCCAUAGAACACGUACAGCAUGGGCAGCACUAUUGUAAGCAGCUUCCCUACCCCAUUCCAUCAAUGUGCCUCAUCUCUGACCUGAAAGGACUAUCUUUAAGGGUGAAAGUUCAUUGUAUAUAACUAUUUAGCCCCUGAUUUCU